This 166-nucleotide microRNA precursor is filed under the name Hordeum vulgare. Its description in RNAcentral is "microRNA MIR2118". It matches the Rfam family "MIR2118 microRNA precursor family". Lineage: Eukaryota; Viridiplantae; Streptophyta; Magnoliopsida; Poales; Poaceae. RNAcentral also lists the same sequence under 1 other name. The record is from RNAcentral.
AAUAGCAGGGAAAAGGAAGCCAUGAGUAUCUCAGAAUGGUGGGUGUGGGAACAUGAAGGAAAGCCUAGACUUUCUUGGCCAAAUUUAGGAGCCAAGGUGUUCUUGUGUUUUCCUGAUGCCUCCCAUGCCUAUUGUUCUUAGGUAUUCCUUCCUUUUCCUAUUGGCU